GAAUUGCGAUAAGUAAUGUGAAUUGCAGAAUUCAGUGAAUCAUCGAAUCUUUGAACGCACCUUGCGCUCCUUGGUAUUCCGAGGAGCAUGCCUGUUUGAGUGUCAUGGAAUUCUCAACUCUAUUUGCUUUUGUGAAUAGAGCUUGGAUUUGGAGGUUUAUUGCUGGUACUUGUGAUCGGCUCCUCUUGAAUGCAUUAGCUCGAACCUUUGCGGAUCAGCUAUCGGUGUGAUAAUUGUCUACGCCGUUGCAGUGAAGCAUAUCAAUGGGCUCGGCUUCCAAUCGUCCUUUACUGGACAAUGACUUUGACCUUUGACCUCAAAUCAGGUAGGAUUACCCGCUGAACUUAAGC
This 350-nucleotide unclassified non-coding RNA is filed under the name plant metagenome. RNAcentral describes it as "partial contains 5.8S ribosomal RNA, internal transcribed spacer 2, and large subunit ribosomal RNA". The stretch from base 1 to 105 matches the Rfam family "5.8S ribosomal RNA", at positions 50 to 154 of the family's 154-position model. The record is from RNAcentral.